UCCCUCCACUGCCGGCCCCAGAUGGCCCGGUGCACACGACCCAGCUCUGGCAACCAGGCUUCCAGCCUCGGGGAAAUUACCUGGCAGGUCCCAGAGUUCAGCGGACAUUCAAUCUGCUUCCCACGAGCUGCUCCUGGCCAGGCGGGUCUGUGCCUGUCCCCCUGCCUCCGUUCAAGGUUCCCACUGGGCCACCACACCAGCAAACAGGGGCUCCAGAAAAGUCACCCAGUGGGCCUCCAGCCAGCAGGACCAAGAAGCGGCCCAGAAACCUCUCCCAGGGACAGGGCGGCUGGAAGUAGGGCCUCAGAGAUAGACCAAGAUCUUGGCAGUCUUCGAGGCUGAUCUCCUUUUACAGAUGGGGAAACUGAGGCACAGGGAGGCAUAACUUAUGAAAGGUCACACUGCUCUGAUCUCCCUUCUCUGCUGUUCCAUCUCCCUCCCUUUCCCCCCUCUCCUUUCCAUCCCCCCUCUUCCUCUUUCCUCUCCUCCCCUCCACUCCCUUCAGCUGUGUUCCCCCUUCCUUUUCCCACCCCUCCCCUCUUCUCCCCACUUCUUUCCUCCCUUCCCCUGCCCCCUAACUGAUGGACAAAACUCCCUUGACAAAGGCAGACUCCAUUAAUUGGGACGUAUGGACUCCCACUGCAUCCUAAUACACUCUCAGCUUUAACAGUAAGGAAGCUGUUUCCUCUCCUGAGCUGAAAUCGGCCUCUCUAGGGUACAUGUCCCCUACUCUUUCUAGCACAGCCUUCUGGGUCCACAAAGGAAGGGUGUGGAGUGAGAAUCCUCACACAUCUGAAUUUGACCGUCCUAUGCACCAGUAUCCCUGGGAUGCUGUGGGAAAGCUGCCACGUGUCUAGUACACUGGAGCGUGCCCAGCUUCAUGGGCAUGGGCAUGGGUCCUGGGCCAAGCUCUAGGAAUACCAGGAUCCCUCCUCCCAAGUUGAUCCCAAUCUCACAUGGAAGACCACAGAGCGCAUAAAAAGGCAGAAGAACAAUCCCCACCAACAUCGGAAGGAACAAAAUCGUUCCGAAACGUGGCUCUUCUCAAUGGUGAGGUGAUUCAGAUCAGUUCCAAUGGUCUUGUGACAAAGAGAGCCAUCACCCAGAGAGAGGACUGUGGCAACUGAGUGUGGAUCACAAUACAGCAUUCUCCCUCUUUUUGUUGUUUGUUUGCAUUUUAUUUUCUUUCUCAUUUUUCCCCUUUUGACCUGAUUUUUCUUGUGCAGCAAGAUAAUUGUAUAAAUAUGUAUGAAUUUAUAUUGGA
Molecule: long non-coding RNA, 1264 nt
Organism: Antechinus flavipes (yellow-footed antechinus)
Lineage: Eukaryota; Metazoa; Chordata; Mammalia; Dasyuromorphia; Dasyuridae
Exons: 2
Source: RefSeq, a predicted model, not a curated record